RNAcentral lists this long non-coding RNA (6075 nucleotides) under Populus tremula. RNAcentral's name for it is "long non-coding RNA (PTRE_LNC001956)". The record is from RNAcentral. Lineage: Eukaryota; Viridiplantae; Streptophyta; Magnoliopsida; Malpighiales; Salicaceae.
CUUAUGGAUCACAGGCUCAAAAGAUUUCUGGGUUGACAUUUCUGAUUUGUCAAUGGGAGUAUAAACCAGGUAUGGGUGCUCGGGGAUUUGCUGGUGCUCACUGGCAUUCCAUAAGGCGGCCUGUUGGUUGUCAGGGUGGACGUUAGGAGCUGCUGCUGGUCCCAUGAUGUGGGUGCCCCAUUUUUUGGGAUUCUCAUCCGAUGCUGGUGGGUGAUCAUUAGGGUGGGAUUCCUCCGUGACAGUGGCAGAUGAGGUUGGUUCGUGGAAUUCUGCCUCUUGAUCAGCCUUAGGUGGUGGUGGAGGUACUUGUUGGGUUUCUGCCUCUUGAGGAGUGCCUGUCAUCUUUACUAAAUGGAAUUGAAUGGAAGGUAAAGGGGGGAAAACACAAAAAGCGGCAGUUCAAGAUUGGUUAUCUGAUUCAGUGAGAACUCUUUGGAAGAUUUGAUGGUUAAAUUAGUGCUAAUAAGCUGUUGAUUUAUAGAAGUUCAAUUCAUGGGUUAUCCAUAUUGUACAAUUUGCAGACACGGUUUCGUUUUCGUUGCAAUGAAGAAAGAUGAGAAAUCAACCUUCUAGAUUAGCAAGAAUGUGUACAGCCUCUUUAGUCAGCCGUAUAAAUUAUACUCUUUCUAGAUAUUUUGAAAACGGGUGCCAUCGUCAAAGCACCGCUUGAUAUUAUCACGGAUAGAAUCAUAGAAAAGAAGGUUUGUCUGCUUUGCAUCAACAAAUUAAUAAAAUAUCUAAAAAAAUAUUAAUUUUUCGCUUGUUGACCGAUUGAUCAUCACGGUUAGAAAGGAAGGUUUGGCUGCUUUGCUUUGAAAUACCCAAACAUGUCAUCAGGCGAAAGCAACAUCUCUCUCUCUUUUUUUAAUGAACAGGAACCUAAGGUAUUGAUUAACAUUGAAAUAUUUAUAGUUUUUUAAAGUAUUUUUUAUUUAAAAAUAUAUUAAAAUACCUCAAUAAUAUCUUUUUCAUGAAAAGAAAUUUAAUGGCAUAUUUUUUGUGAUAAAAAUGUAGUUAACCAACAAUUUUAUCUUUUUUAUUUUAUUUUUUUAUGACUACUUUUUUUAUUUCAAAGUUUAUGAAUUGAAAGGUAAAAUAAAUUAAUUUUAGUAAAUAAAUGUAAAACCCAUAAAAAAAAACCAAAAAGUAAAACUUGAAAUUAUUGGGAUCAAACUAUAAUUCCCCAUGCCAAACUGAAAAGGGGUUGCAUCUGUUUGGUUGUGUCAAUGUUGGUUCCUGUUGUUUUAAUUUUCUAAGAUUGAUAAAAUCUUAGAAAAUAUAUUACGAAGGGAACCUCAAAAAAGCCUUCAGCUUAUAGGGCUAAUCUUGGUUAGGUCUAAAUAUGUUUUUCAUCUAGAUUAAAUCCUCUAUUUAUUAAUGAAUUCUCAAUCAAAUCAUUAUGUUAAUUUAGGUUAAUGUAAUGGUUAAGUAUGGGAUAAUGAGAAUAAAUUAUACUUAUAAAUACAAGAGUUUUGUAUUAUAUAUAUAUAUAUAUAUAUAUAUAAAGUUUGGUCUCCAUGUGAGAUUCACGUUAUUCAAAAGUAAAAAUCUUAGAAAAUUUGCUUGUUUUUGUAAAAAAUAUAAAAUAAAAAUCACAUCAUCAUCAAGUAUUACUUAAUAGUAUCAUUAAUUCAUUCUUAAUUGCGGAUUUAAUCAUUGCGGAUCUAAUCUAAACUAGCUUCGAAGUUUGGGGAUUCUUACAAGGUUUGCCUAGCAAAAGGAAAUUGAAGGAAUAAUUAGGUGUGAGUAGUAAUCAUAGUUUAAUCUAAAGCCGAUAAAUAUUUACCCAACACGAAUGGAUGAAUAUUUUUUUAUGAUUGCCUUACUGGAUAGAUAAUGAGUAUAGUAUAAAUAUUGUAAAAUCUGAUUCAAAACUUGCUUUAACCUAACUACGAAAUAUAUAUGUAUAUUAUAUUAAUAUAUUUGUAGAAUAUUUAGAUUUUUUUAAUAUAUAUAUAUAUAUAUAUAUAUAUAUAUAUAAUCAUUUGCUAUUCAUUAUCUAUUAGAAAAAAUAUAGAUAUUUAUAUCUAACUCAUCUUAUCCAUAUCCAAAAUAAAUAAUUAUACACUAUAGAUUAUCUAUUAAAAAGAAACAUCGAUAUCCAUGUCUAACUCGUUGAAUCUCGAAUAUUCAUUAGUAGUUUUUAUUUAUUUAAGUAGUUAUCAUAUUACGUGUUCCGCACAUGAUUAACAUUGGUUGUCAGGGUGGACAUUAGGUGCUGGCGGUGGUACCAUGACGUGGCUGCCCCAUUUCUUGGUUUCCUCAUCCGAUAGUGGUGGUGGUUGAAGCGGCGACCCCUCUGUGACAGUGGACGAUGAGGGUGGCUGAUGAGAUUCGGCUCCUGUAGCUUUAGGAGCUGAUAAUGCUGGGACUGGUACUUCAUGUUGCUGUGCCUGUUGAGGUGAGCUUGUCAUUUUGACCGACUAGAACUGAAUGGAAGGUAGAUGUGGCAAGAGCAAAAACUAUCGGUGCGAUAUUGAAGAAAGCAGAUUUUUUUUUUUUUUGAUGGAUUGAAGAAAGUAGAUGAAUCAACCUUCUAGAUUGAAAGCGUCCUUAGCCUGUUAGCCAGAUGACUAUUCCGAGGAGGACUAUCUAGGUGAACAGGUGGCAAUGCCAAAAAACUUUUUGGCCGAAUGAAAUUAUCAGGAGAAGAAUCGAAAAGGUUUCUAGCUAGACACCAUUAAUAAAUUUAACAGCCUGGCUGUUUUUGUUUAUGAUGUAAUAUCUAGAGUGAAUAAAAAUUAGGAUUUUAAAAUUCUAAGGUUAUAGCUGAGAUUUUUGAGAAAUAUAGAUAAAACUCUAAUAAGUUUGGGAUUUAAUAAUUUUCAAUAAAAAAAAUAAAUUAAACAUCCCUAAUUUAAGUCUUAAUUUAGGAAAAGGAUUCCUUAUUGAUAGUUACAUAAUUCAACUAGCAUUGGAAUUCAUAUAUUAAGUAAAAUCAUGUAAAUCUCAACAAUUAAAUAAAUAUUAUAAUAAAAAUAAUUAUGUCAUAUAAUAAAAAAUAAAAUAGUGUCUCUUGUCAUUCCCUACUACUUGCAAAAAAUACUCACCCUCUAGUUAAAUAUUAGAAAUUAAACUCAUUCUUAAAAGAUUGAAACUAUAUAAUGAGUCUACUUAUAAAUUUCAAAAUUAGAUACUUUUAUAUCGAAUUCUUUUUUUUUAUACUCUCUCAAAUUCAUCAGCUUAUAAAUUAACUUUGAGCGUAAUCUUUGAUAAUAAUUUUAUAAUUUAUCAGAGUUUCUACUUCUUACAUGUACUUUUCAAUGUUCUAAAUUACAAUUUCAAUUCCAUAAUCCUUUUUUAAUAAAGAGUAAUAUAGUUAAUGGUGUUUGAUUAUGCUAUUCUAUUUUUUUAACUUAAAUAAUCCUUUUUUUAGGUAGUGUUUUGUUCCUGUCUCGGGAUAAAAAAGACAAAGAUAAUAAAAACAAAAAAGACAAGAUAAAAAGAAAAUAAAGAUAAAAUUUUGUUUGAUAGUUAUGAUUCCUAAACUAAACAAAUCCUUGUAAAUUUUAAUAAUUAAAUAAAUGUUAUAAUAAAAAUAAUGAUGUCAUAAAUUAAAAAACAAUAUCCCACGAUUAGUUUAAAUAUCGGGAUAUGCUAUCAGCAACCUUAAUUUAAUGGACACUGUAAAAGGGACCUCAUAAACUGAUCCUAUUCUAAUUUAACUAUGCAUUGCGUAACUCAAUUAUCUCUGUCUUCGAAAGUUACCAUUUCACCUCCGGUAGGAGUUCUGGUAGCAACCCUAGCUUCUAAGCAAUAGGUAUUAACCUGUCUAUUUCACAAUUCGGUUGAUUUGUGUAUUGCUAAAACUCAAGCUGACAAGUAUUAAUACUAAUUACGGAGUUGAGGAAGCAAUCAUAUCCUUUGCCGACAAAGUGCCCGAUCGGUUGGCAAUUGUCUAUUUUCUCCACAAUUGAUUUGUCAUAUCCUUUGCCGAUACAGUGCCCGAUCGGUUGAUUUGUUAAGUAGCCACCGACAUGGAGCUUUUUAACUUUUUGUGAUUCACUUUCAAUGAUUUGUGGUGGCAGCCUGCAACUCCGCUAUAAAUUCACUUUCCGCGGUGGGGAUGGAUUCUCUGCUCUUAGCAUUUGCUGAAAAAACUUCAUUUUAGACAGUCCUAUCAUUUUCUAUACUGUGCUCUAGCAAUCAAAAUUACGACGGUUUUGGCUAAGUAAAAGUGUUCCUUUCAACGACACUGCCCACUGCAGAGGGAUUAUCUCAACUUGCACAUUGGAUAAACCUCCUUAGAUUUUCUUUGAUCACGUCAUUUUAUUUUCGUUGCCCAUUUGAAAUUAUUUGGCUGAAAUGGAAAGACAAUACUACGAAUUAAUGUUAAGAUCAAAUCACGGCGUUUUUUGGAAUUCCAAUUCUUGCAAUUAUUAACGUUCACAAAAAAACUGAAAUGAUCGAACCCAUUAUAGAAUUGAAGCCCAUAUAUGACAAGCCAUCCGGGUCUCUCUUUUUUUUUUUUUUUAAUGUUGACAGCAUUUCAUUCAUAUCAUUCAUAGAAACUCGAAUUUUGAGGAGUCUUUUAAGUAUUUAGCCCGCUACACUGUUAACAAUGCUGUUGAGGCUUUUCCAAAUUAAGAAUGCGGUGGGAGGGUGGAGAAAGUAUAUCAGAAAAUAUAUCCAAAUGCAACUCCGUUUUCAAAAAUCUACAUAAAUAUAUAAACAACAAUCAAAGAAAAGAAUACAUGAUAGAAGAGGAUAAAUGAAUGACAACAGGAAAACUAAAGGAAAGCUCCCUUCAGGCAACAAACAAUAAAUGCACUAGAAACAGUGAAAAUCAAAAUCUUGAAGGGCAUGAAGGAUUCAACUAUCAUUGGCUAAACAACAACUGGUUGAAUUGCAAUUCCUGCUUCCUUGAAACUUGACACGCUCUCUGAUAGAUUUUGCAAGGCUUUCUCAAAAUUAACGAAACCCAUAAACCAGAAGUCGUGCCCAUCGAUGCUGACAAUUUGAAUGUACUUCCUUGAUGGAUUUUCCAGCAUGGUCUCCGAGCUGACUCUGCUUAUUUUUUCCAAGGGUAUCAUAACCUGCUCAAAAUAAGUUAUUAUUGAAUUCAUCAGUACCAUGAUAUACACGGAUGGCUAUAGCAAGAUAGAAAAUUUAGUUUGAGCUUUGAUUGCCAAAGAUAUUUAGUUUUGUUUUGUUGUAUCUCCGUGAACUACCCUUUUAUACAUGCACGAUUUCUCUCAACUUCACCUUUUGUUUGGAAUUUAACAGAGCUUAACUAUAUAUAAUAAUAGGCUAAUAGCUAUGAAUGUAGUAAAAUCUAUCCGACUUGGUGUCUAGCGAUGUAUUUACCUUGUAGUAGCUCCAGGCCUCCUCCCCUGAAGGAACAGUAUGGCACAGAGGACGGUCGCUGCAGAACGCGACUCGAGCAGUUGACAGAUAGAGCGUCCCGGCAACAGGGCCAGUAGAUGUUGAGAGGUAACAAGCAAAACUCUUCUUCAGCUUCUCAUUAGGAUCGGUGGUUUCAAAUAUAUGCUUGAAGAGAGACUCAAAGCCACCCUCUGUCAUUGCUUUCACCGUCAGGUUUACCUUACCCCAGGCAGCUUGUGGCACAGAUGGCCCUGUGCUAACUGCAUUAAAGUGUAUGUGCAGGUGCGUGUUAAAACAGAUCAGAAAUAAGAUUGGAAGAUACACUUGAACUAAAUUUGUUGUCCGCUUUGAUGCCAGAAAAUCGCUACUCUAUCAUGGUCACAGUUACAGUGACGAUCAAUUAGCUAAUUUAAUAUUUCAUGGUUUGUGAACAUCAACUUACGAUUGUGCCAGAUGUUACGGGCUACGGUCUCUGCCAUCUUGCCCCAUUCUUGAAACUUAUGGAUCACAGGUUCAAAAGAUUUCUGGGUUGACAUUUCUGAUUUGUCAAUGGGAGUAUAAACCAGGUAUGGGUGCUCGGGGAUUUGCUGGUGCUCACUGGCAUUCCAUAAGGCAGCCUGUUGGUUGUCAGGGUGGAAAUUAGGUGCUGCUGGAGGCCCCAUGAUGUGGGUGCCCCAUUUCUUGGAUUUCUCAUCCGAUGCUGGUGGUUGAUCCUUAGGGUGGGAUUCCUCCGUGACAGUGGCAGAUGAG